GACGAACGCUGGCGGCGUGCUUAACACAUGCAAGUCGAGCGGUAAGGCCCUUUCGGGGGUACGACGAGCGGCGAACGGGUGAGUAACACGUGGGUGACCUGCCCUUAGCUCUGGGAUAAGCCUGGGAAACUGGGUCUAAUACCGGAUAUGACUCCAUGACGCAUGUUGUGGGGUGGAAAGCCUUGUGCGGCUAGGGAUGGGCCCGCGGCCUAUCAGCUUGUUGGUGGGGUGAUGGCCUACCAAGGCGACGACGGGUAGCCGGCCUGAGAGGGCGACCGGCCACACUGGGACUGAGACACGGCCCAGACUCCUACGGGAGGCAGCAGUGGGGAAUCUUGCGCAAUGGGCGAAAGCCUGACGCAGCGACGCCGCGUGGGGAUGACGGCCU
Molecule: ribosomal RNA, 388 nt
Filed under: uncultured bacterium
Lineage: Bacteria
Description: bacterial SSU rRNA
Rfam family: Bacterial small subunit ribosomal RNA
Source: RNAcentral